RNAcentral lists this ribosomal RNA (380 nucleotides) under uncultured eukaryote. RNAcentral's name for it is "partial 18S ribosomal RNA". It matches the Rfam family "Eukaryotic small subunit ribosomal RNA", at positions 592 to 976 of the family's 1831-position model. The record is from RNAcentral.
CAAUAGCGUAUAUUAAAGUUGUUGCAGUUAGAACGCUCGUAGUCGGAUUUCGGGGCGUUCCGACCGGUCUGCCGAUGGGUAUGCACUGGCCGGAGUGCCCUUUUUGCCGGAGACCGUGCCUACUCUUAACUGAGCGGGGGCGGGAGACGGCACUUUUACUUUGAAAAAAUCAGAGUGUUUCAAGCAGGCAGCUCGCUCUUGCAUGGAUUAGCAUGGGAUAAUGAAAUAGGACUUUGGUGCUAUUUUGUUGGUUUCGAACACCGAAGUAAUGAUGAGAAGGGACAGUCAGGGGCACUCGUAUUCCGCAGAGAGAGGUGAAAUUCUCAGACCCGCGGAAGACGAACCACUGCGAAAGCAUUUGCCAGGGAUGUUUNCACUGA